Molecule: ribosomal RNA, 315 nt
Filed under: uncultured soil bacterium
Lineage: Bacteria
Description: bacterial SSU rRNA
Rfam family: Bacterial small subunit ribosomal RNA
Source: RNAcentral
AGGAUGAACGCUGGCGGCGUGCUUAACACAUGCAAGUCGAACGAUGAAAGCCGGAGCUUGCUCUGGCUGGAUUAGUGGCGAACGGGUGAGUAACACGUGAGUAACCUGCCCUUGACUCUGGGAUAAGCACUGGAAACGGUGUCUAAUACCGGAUACGAGCUUCAGCCGCAUGGCUAGGAGCUGGAAAGAAUUUCGGUCAAGGAUGGACUCGCGGCCUAUCAGGUAGUUGGUGAGGCAAAGGCUCACCAAGCCGACGACGGGUAGCCGGCCUGAGAGGGUGACCGGCCACACUGGGACUGAGACACGGCCCAGACU